AGACCUUGAAGAUAAAAUAGAAGUAUUAUUCUUUCCGUUCGUCUUCCGAUAAACACUAUUUCUCAAGUUUCUCUUAUCAUCUAUCGUGACCGACACGCAAUGCCGGAACAGUCGCAAGAUGCAAUUCGUUGUAAAUUUUGCACGCAACGAAAACCUUGAAAGCUUUCCCAUGACAUUCGAAGGGGCAGAGAAGAAGAACACGAAGAUAGAGAAGCAUCAUUUAUUAAGUGCUUCGGGACAAGUACCCUCGAGCACAGAGAUCACAAAUACAAAUAAACUCAAAAUAAAGAACACAACUGUACAUAAUCGUUUUUGAAAAGCAAUAAGAAUAAAAUAAAAAAAAGAAACAUAAAA
Molecule: long non-coding RNA, 354 nt
Organism: Solenopsis invicta (red fire ant)
Lineage: Eukaryota; Metazoa; Arthropoda; Insecta; Hymenoptera; Formicidae
Exons: 2
Source: RefSeq, a predicted model, not a curated record